CGCGUAGGCGGUUUGAUAAGUCAGAUGUGAAAGCCCACGGCUUGACCGUGGAAGUGCAUUUGAUACUGUUAGACUUGAGUACCAGAGGGGAAAGUGGAAUUCCCGGUGUAGAGGUGAAAUUCGUAGAUAUCGGGAGGAAUACCGGUGGCGAAGGCGACUUUCUGGCUGGAUACUGACGCUGAGGCGCGAAAGCGUGGGGAGCAAACA
Molecule: ribosomal RNA, 207 nt
Filed under: uncultured delta proteobacterium
Lineage: Bacteria; Deltaproteobacteria
Description: partial 16S ribosomal RNA
Rfam family: Bacterial small subunit ribosomal RNA
Source: RNAcentral